CCUACGGGAGGCAGCAGUGAGGAAUAUUGGUCAAUGGCCGGAAGGCUGAACCAGCCAAGCCGCGUGAAGGACGAAGGUGCCAAGCAUUGUAAACUUCUUUUGUCAAGGGACAAAAUCAGGCUCGAGAGCCUGACCGAGGGUACUUGAAGAAAAAGCAUCGGCUAACUCCGUGCCAGCAGCCGCGGUAAUACGGAGGAUCCGAGCGUUAUCCGGAUUUAUUGGGUUUAAAGGGAGCGUAGAUGGGUUGUUAAGUCAGUUGUGAAAGUUUGCGGCUCAACCGUAAAAUUGCAAUUGAUACUGGCAGUCUUGAGUACAGUUGAGGUAGGCGGAAUUCGUGGUGUAGCGGUGAAAUGCUUAGAUAUUGCGCAGAACUCCGAUUGCGAAGGCAGCAUACCGGCGGCGAUCUGACGCUGAGGCACGAAAGCGUGGGUAUCGAACAGGAUUAGAUACCCUUGUAGUC
RNAcentral lists this ribosomal RNA (460 nucleotides) under uncultured bacterium. RNAcentral's name for it is "partial 16S ribosomal RNA". It matches the Rfam family "Bacterial small subunit ribosomal RNA", at positions 338 to 795 of the family's 1533-position model. The record is from RNAcentral.